GACAGUACUAAUACCCAGGGAAACUGGUCAUCAGGCGAACUGCGGCGUUCUGCUGGCAAAACAUAGCUUCGGUUAUGUCAAUGGCUAUUGGAUUGGUCCAUGAAGCGAAAAAUAGUUUACUGUGUCACUCGUACCGAUAACCGCAUCAGGUCUUCUAGGUAAGUAGCCUAUGGCCAUUGAGGCAUGAUAGUUCAGGAAUUCGGCCAAUUAGAGCUGUAACUUCGGGAUAAAGCUUGGCUCUGAUGAAAAUCAGAACCGAUUGUUACGCGGAGAGCCCAACUGUUUAAUAAAAACGUAGUGUCGCGCUGUGGUAGUAUAGCCAGUGAACGCGACAUGAAUCCUGCUCAGUGCUGUGUCUGUUAAUAUGGUUCAAGCCAACGAAGCACCGGUAAAUAGCUGGGGUAACUAUGACUCUUAUCAAAGUAGCGAAAUACCUCGUCACUUAAUUAGUGACCUGCAUGAACGGAGCUAUGAGGUUCUCACUGUCCCAAACUGUCUCUCAGCGAACCAACUGUAGUGGGAACGGUCACUAGAUAUCCAGCGGGGAAAGAAGACCCUGUAGAGCUUCACUUUGGUCUAGUCUUGUAUAGUUCCUGCGGGGGUGUAGACUAGGUGGGAGAGCAAUCGAUUCUGAAAAACCACUACCCUGUUUGGAAUUAUGCUUACCUAUCACAAGGAAUAGGACUAGAUAGAAAGUUUGGCUGGGGCGGCACACCUUCGAAAGAGCAGCGAAGGUGUCCUAAGUUGAGCUCAGUGAGGACAGAAAUCU
RNAcentral lists this non-coding RNA (769 nucleotides) under Trichomonas vaginalis G3. Its description in RNAcentral is "Eukaryotic large subunit ribosomal RNA". It matches the Rfam family "Eukaryotic large subunit ribosomal RNA", at positions 1704 to 2692 of the family's 3401-position model. Lineage: Eukaryota; Parabasalia; Trichomonadida; Trichomonadidae. The record is from Rfam by way of RNAcentral.